Molecule: microRNA precursor, 61 nt
Filed under: Tetraodon nigroviridis (spotted green pufferfish)
Lineage: Eukaryota; Metazoa; Chordata; Actinopteri; Tetraodontiformes; Tetraodontidae
Description: Tni-Mir-1-P3_pre stem-loop
Rfam family: mir-1 microRNA precursor family
About the family: This family represents the microRNA (miRNA) mir-1 family. miRNAs are transcribed as ~70nt precursors (modelled here) and subsequently processed by the Dicer enzyme to give a ~22nt product. In this case the mature sequence comes from the 3' arm of the precursor.
Source: RNAcentral
ACGUACUUCUUUAUAUGCCCAUAUGGACAUGAGCAAGUGUGGAAUGUAAAGAAGUAUGUAG